This 441-nucleotide ribosomal RNA is filed under the name Salmonella enterica subsp. enterica serovar Champaign. RNAcentral's name for it is "partial 23S ribosomal RNA". It matches the Rfam family "Bacterial large subunit ribosomal RNA", at positions 2202 to 2642 of the family's 2925-position model. Lineage: Bacteria; Pseudomonadati; Pseudomonadota; Gammaproteobacteria; Enterobacterales; Enterobacteriaceae. The record is from RNAcentral.
ACCCUUUAAUGUUUGAUGUUCUAACGUGGACCCGUAAUCCGGGUUGCGGACAGUGUCUGGUGGGUAGUUUGACUGGGGCGGUCUCCUCCUAAAGAGUAACGGAGGAGCACGAAGGUUGGCUAAUCCUGGUCGGACAUCAGGAGGUUAGUGCAAUGGCAUAAGCCAGCUUGACUGCGAGCGUGACGGCGCGAGCAGGUGCGAAAGCAGGUCAUAGUGAUCCGGUGGUUCUGAAUGGAAGGGCCAUCGCUCAACGGAUAAAAGGUACUCCGGGGAUAACAGGCUGAUACCGCCCAAGAGUUCAUAUCGACGGCGGUGUUUGGCACCUCGAUGUCGGCUCAUCACAUCCUGGGGCUGAAGUAGGUCCCAAGGGUAUGGCUGUUCGCCAUUUAAAGUGGUACGCGAGCUGGGUUUAGAACGUCGUGAGACAGUUCGGUCCCUAUC